GCGGGGGUAGCCAAGCCCGACCAACGGCGCGGGACUUAAGAUCCCGUCCCUUAGGGGUUCGCAGGUUCGAAUCCUGCCCCCCGCA
RNAcentral lists this transfer RNA (85 nucleotides) under Methanobacteriota archaeon. RNAcentral describes it as "Euryarchaeota archaeon tRNA-Leu". It matches the Rfam family "tRNA". Rfam says of the family: Transfer RNA (tRNA) molecules are approximately 80 nucleotides in length. Their secondary structure includes four short double-helical elements and three loops (D, anti-codon, and T loops). Lineage: Archaea; Methanobacteriati; Methanobacteriota. The record is from RNAcentral. RNAcentral also lists the same sequence under 1 other name.